CCAGACUCCUACGGGAGGCAGCAGUGGGGAAUAUUGCACAAUGGGGGAAACCCUGAUGCAGCGACGCCGCGUGAAGGACGAAGUAUUUCGGUACGUAAACUUCUAUCAGCAGGGAAGAAAAUGACGGUACCUGACCAAGAAGCCCCGGCUAACUACGUGCCAGCAGCCGCGGUAAUACGUAGGGGGCAAGCGUUAUCCGGAUUUACUGGGUGUAAAGGGAGCGUAGACGGCCAUGCAAGUCUGAUGUGAAAACCCGGGGCUCAACCCCGGGACUGCAUUGGAAACUGUGCGGCUGGAGUGUCGGAGAGGCAAGUGGAAUUCCUAGUGUAGCGGUGAAAUGCGUAGAUAUUAGGAGGAACACCAGUGGCGAAGGCGGCUUGCUGGACGACGACUGACGUUGAGGCUCGAAAGCGUGGGGAGCAGACAGGAUUAGAUGCCCGUGUA
This 444-nucleotide ribosomal RNA is filed under the name uncultured bacterium. RNAcentral's name for it is "bacterial SSU rRNA". It matches the Rfam family "Bacterial small subunit ribosomal RNA", at positions 331 to 792 of the family's 1533-position model. The record is from RNAcentral.